GAUGAACGCUGGCGGCGUGCCUAAUACUUGCAAGUCGAGCGAACAGACGAGGAGCUUGCUCCUCUGACGUUAGCGGCGGACGGGUAGGUAACACGUGGAUAACCUACCUAUAAGACUGGGAAAACUUCGGGAAACCGGGGCUAAUACCGGUAAAUAUAUUAACCCGCAUGGUUCAAUGGUAAAAGACGGUUUUGCUGUCACUUAUAGUUGGAUCCGCGCCGCAUUAGCUAGUUGGUAAGGUAACGGCUUACCAAGGCAACGAUGCGUAGCCGACCUGAGAGGGUGAUCGGCCACACUGGAACUGAGACACGGUCCAGACUCCUACGGGAGGCAGCAGUAGGGAAUCUUCCGCAAUGGGCGAAAGCCUGACGGAGCAACGCCGCGUGAGUGAUGAAGGUCUUCGGAUCGUAAAACUCUGUUAUUAGGGAAGAACAAAUGUGUAAGUAACUAUGCACGUCUUGACGGUACCUAAUCAGAAAGCCACGGCUAACUACGUG
This 497-nucleotide ribosomal RNA is filed under the name uncultured bacterium. RNAcentral describes it as "partial 16S ribosomal RNA". It matches the Rfam family "Bacterial small subunit ribosomal RNA", at positions 28 to 507 of the family's 1533-position model. The record is from RNAcentral.